GGAAACGAGGGGAGUGCCCUUGGGAACCCGGUGACAGGUGGUGCAUGGUUGUCGUCAGCUCGUGUCGUGAGAUGUUGGGUUAAGUCCCGCAACGAGCGCAACCCUCGCCUUUAGUUGCCAGCAUUCAGUUGGGCACUCUAAAGGGACUGCCGGUGUCAAACCGGAGGAAGGUGGGAUGACGUCAAGUCCUCAUGGCCUUUAUGUCUAGGGCUACACACGUACUACAAUGGCAGGUACAAAGGGCAGCGACACAGCGAUGUGAUGCGAAUCCCGAAAAGCCUGUCUCAGUCCGGAUCGGAGUCUGCAACUCGACUCCGUGAAGUUGGAAUCGCUAGUAAUCGUGGAUCAGCAUGCCACGGUGAAUACGUUCCCGGGCCUU
This 379-nucleotide ribosomal RNA is filed under the name uncultured Desulfovibrio sp. RNAcentral's name for it is "bacterial SSU rRNA". It matches the Rfam family "Bacterial small subunit ribosomal RNA", at positions 1002 to 1382 of the family's 1533-position model. The record is from RNAcentral. Lineage: Bacteria; Pseudomonadati; Thermodesulfobacteriota; Desulfovibrionia; Desulfovibrionales; Desulfovibrionaceae.